This 68-nucleotide transfer RNA is filed under the name Cardiocondyla obscurior. RNAcentral describes it as "tRNA-Ile". Lineage: Eukaryota; Metazoa; Arthropoda; Insecta; Hymenoptera; Formicidae. The record is from RNAcentral.
AAUGAUAUGCCUGACUAAAAGGAUUAUUUUGAUAGAAUAAAUUAUGUAUAAUAAUUAUACUUUCAUUA